UCCACGCUGUAAACGAUGUCGAUUUGGAGGUUGUGCCCUUGAGGCGUGGCUUCCGGAGCUAACGCGUUAAAUCGACCGCCUGGGGAGUACGGCCGCAAGGUUAAAACUCAAAUGAAUUGACGGGGGCCCGCACAAGCGGUGGAGCAUGUGGUUUAAUUCGAUGCAACGCGAAGAACCUUACCUACUCUUGACAUCCAGAGAACUUUCCAGAGAUGGAUUGGUGCCUUCGGGAACUCUGAGACAGGUGCUGCAUGGCUGUCGUCAGCUCGUGUUGUGAAAUGUUGGGUUAAGUCCCGCAACGAGCGCAACCCUUAUCCUUUGUUGCCAGCGGUUCGGCCGGGAACUCAAAGGAGACUGCCAGUGAUAAACUGGAGGAAGGUGGGGAUGACGUCAAGUCAUCAUGGCCCUUACGAGUAGGGCUACACACGUGCUACAAUGGCGUAUACAAAGAGAAGCGACCUCGCGAGAGCAAGCGGACCUCAUAAAGUACGUCGUAGUCCGGAUUGGAGUCUGCAACUCGACUCCAUGAAGUCGGAAUCGCUAGUAAUCGUAGAUCAGAAUGCUACGGUGAAUACGUUCCCGGGCCUUGUACACACCGCCCGUCACACCAUGGGAGUGGGUUGCAAAAGAAGUAGGUAGCUUAACCUUCGGGAGGGCGCUUACCACUUUGUGAUUCAUGACUGGGGUGAAGUCGUAACAAGGUAACC
RNAcentral lists this ribosomal RNA (707 nucleotides) under Paraclostridium benzoelyticum. RNAcentral describes it as "bacterial SSU rRNA". It matches the Rfam family "Bacterial small subunit ribosomal RNA", at positions 794 to 1501 of the family's 1533-position model. The record is from RNAcentral. Lineage: Bacteria; Bacillati; Bacillota; Clostridia; Peptostreptococcales; Peptostreptococcaceae.